Molecule: long non-coding RNA, 1039 nt
Organism: Manduca sexta (tobacco hornworm)
Lineage: Eukaryota; Metazoa; Arthropoda; Insecta; Lepidoptera; Sphingidae
Exons: 3
Source: RefSeq, a predicted model, not a curated record
CCGAAGGGUAAUAAUUUCUCGUCAGUAGACUUGCUAUUAGAGCCCACUCCAGUUACUAUCAGGUACAGUGCAAAUAUAGUAAAAAGAGCUUGGUAUUAUAUAGUAAAAAAACUUUAUCAUUCAUUCCAUAUAUCCAUGAUAAAUAGAUGUUUACUACAUUUAUUGUACUGGAUUACAGUCAUCCACGAGUAGAUAAACAUUUAUCAUAAAAGAAAUAUAACACUCUGACGAUAUUUACUGAAAAACAAACAUAAACUUAACAUAUAGAUAGUUACACGAUUUUUAUGCUUAGACUGUUGUGGAAGGUGUUUAGAAGUUACAUUAGCUUUUGCCUACGACUCCGCCCCCGUGUAAAAGUUUCUCUGUGAUAUAAAGUAGCCUAUAAGCACUCAAGAGUAAUGUAGCUUCCUAUAAGUGAAAAAAAUCAAAAUCGUUUUAGUAGUUACUGAGAUAAGCUUAAGCACAUAAGUAAACUCUUUAGCUUUAUAUAUUACUAUAGAUAAUAAUUACUUUUAAAUCAUCAUGAAUACUAGUAACAUAAAUACGACUGUUUGUGAAGAUUUGCUGGUGGUAGCAUACAAAAGGUGUUAAACCCGCCAUAGUCGCGAACGUAGGUGUGUCGCGUUCCGUUGUUAGUCUAUGUACAUCCAGUUCAAACAGGCUGGCAUAAUUGUGUCGACUGGCGAUCAGGAAUCAUCUCCCGUCAGGCGAUAUUCUAUCUGGACUCCACUUAGCUGUUCAUCAGGUGCAUUGGGAUCACAAUACAGUGUUCGUAUAAAAAGGCUUCCUCUGCUACUGAGAGGGUUUGAAUCUUAGUCCACCACGCUAGCCUAGUGAGACAAUGCUGUGCCAUCAGAAUGAUAUGGCUGGAUUCAAAAAUGCCACUUCAUGUAUUUAGGCACCUCCCCUCCCGCGUCCAGCAAACGGCCAUAAGAAUUAUUAAGUUCCAUACAUUUACGGCGCACAAUUAUAUGCAAAUAAUGAAUAUGAAAAUAUACGAAUAAUUACUUAAAAAAUACAUUUAAAUGAAAAUAAAAAA